This 301-nucleotide ribosomal RNA is filed under the name uncultured bacterium. Its description in RNAcentral is "partial 16S ribosomal RNA". It matches the Rfam family "Bacterial small subunit ribosomal RNA", at positions 509 to 807 of the family's 1533-position model. The record is from RNAcentral.
CAGCAGCCGCGGGAAUACGUAGGGUGCGAGCGUUAAUCGGAAUUACUGGGCGUAAAGGGAGCGUAGGCGGAUCGUUAAGUUGGGGGUGAAAGCCCGGGGCUCAACCUCGGAACUGCCUUCAAUACUGGCGAUCUUGAGUAUGAGAGAGGUGUGUGGAACUCCGAGUGUAGAGGUGAAAUUCGUAGAUAUUCGGAAGAACACCAGUGGCGAAGGCGACACACUGGCUCAUUACUGACGCUGAGGCGCGAAAGCGUGGGGAGCAAACAGGAUUAGAUACCCCUGUAGUCCCUGUCUCUUAUAC